CCUACGGGGGGCAGCAGUGAGGAAUAUUGGUCAAUGGGCGCGAGCCUGAUCCAGCCAAGUAGCGUGAAGGAUGACUGCCCUACGGGUUGUAAACUUCUUUUGUAAAGGAAUAAAGUGAGGCACGUGUGCCUUUUUGUAUGUACUUUAUGAAUGAGGAUCGGCUAACUCCGUGCCAGCAGCCGCGGUAAUACGGAGGAUCCGAGCGUUAUCCGGAUUUAUUGGGUUUAAAGGGAGCGUAGAUGGGUUGUUAAGUCAGUUGUGAAAGUUGGCGGCUCAACCGUAAAAUUGCAAUUGAUACUGGCAGUCUUGAGUACAGUUGAGGUAGGCGGAAUUCGUGGUGUAGCGGUGAAAUGCUUAGAUAUUACGAAGAACUCCGAUUGCGAAGGCAGCUUACUAAACUGUCACUGACAUUGAUGCUCGAAAGUGUGGGUUUCAAACAGGAUUAGAUACCCUUGUAGUC
This 460-nucleotide ribosomal RNA is filed under the name uncultured bacterium. Its description in RNAcentral is "partial 16S ribosomal RNA". It matches the Rfam family "Bacterial small subunit ribosomal RNA", at positions 338 to 795 of the family's 1533-position model. The record is from RNAcentral.